RNAcentral lists this ribosomal RNA (434 nucleotides) under Arthrobacter globiformis. RNAcentral describes it as "bacterial SSU rRNA". It matches the Rfam family "Bacterial small subunit ribosomal RNA", at positions 22 to 456 of the family's 1533-position model. The record is from RNAcentral. Lineage: Bacteria; Bacillati; Actinomycetota; Actinomycetes; Micrococcales; Micrococcaceae.
GCUCAGGAUGAACGCUGGCGGCGUGCUUAACACAUGCAAGUCGAACGAUGAUCCGGUGCUUGCACCGGGGAUUAGUGGCGAACGGGUGAGUAACACGUGAGUAACCUGCCCUUAACUCUGGGAUAAGCCUGGGAAACUGGGUCUAAUACCGGAUAUGACUCCUCAUCGCAUGGUGGGGGGUGGAAAGCUUUUGUGGUUUUGGAUGGACUCGCGGCCUAUCAGCUUGUUGGUGAGGUAAUGGCUCACCAAGGCGACGACGGGUAGCCGGCCUGAGAGGGUGACCGGCCACACUGGGACUGAGACACGGCCCAGACUCCUACGGGAGGCAGCAGUGGGGAAUAUUGCACAAUGGGCGCAAGCCUGAUGCAGCGACGCCGCGUGAGGGAUGACGGCCUUCGGGUUGUAAACCUCUUUCAGUAGGGAAGAAGCGAAAG